This 465-nucleotide ribosomal RNA is filed under the name uncultured Klebsiella sp. RNAcentral's name for it is "bacterial SSU rRNA". It matches the Rfam family "Bacterial small subunit ribosomal RNA", at positions 338 to 795 of the family's 1533-position model. Lineage: Bacteria; Pseudomonadati; Pseudomonadota; Gammaproteobacteria; Enterobacterales; Enterobacteriaceae. The record is from RNAcentral.
CCUACGGGUGGCUGCAGUGGGGAAUAUUGCACAAUGGGCGCAAGCCUGAUGCAGCCAUGCCGCGUGUGUGAAGAAGGCCUUCGGGUUGUAAAGCACUUUCAGCGGGGAGGAAGGCGUUAAGGUUAAUAACCUUGUCGAUUGACGUUACCCGCAGAAGAAGCACCGGCUAACUCCGUGCCAGCAGCCGCGGUAAUACGGAGGGUGCAAGCGUUAAUCGGAAUUACUGGGCGUAAAGCGCACGCAGGCGGUCUGUCAAGUCGGAUGUGAAAUCCCCGGGCUCGACCUGGGAACUGCAUUCGAAACUGGCAGGCUAGAGUCUUGUAGAGGGGGGUAGAAUUCCAGGUGUAGCGGUGAAAUGCGUAGAGAUCUGGAGGAAUACCGGUGGCGAAGGCGGCCCCCUGGACAAAGACUGACGCGCAGGUGCGAAAGCGUGGGGAGCAAACAGGAUUAGAUACCCCGGUAGUC